CCCCACACACUGACUCGGUACCGGUUCCCCCUGUAUAUAGCCUCCACAUUGACUCGGUACCGGUUCCCCCUGUAUAUAGCCUCCACAUUGACUCUGUUCCGGUACCCCCUGUAUAUAGCCUCCACACUGACUCUGUACCGGUACCCCCUGUAUAUAGCCUCCACAUUGACUCUGUACCGGUACCCCCUGUAUAUAGCCUCCACAUUGACUCUGUACCGUUACCCCCUGUAUAUAGCCUCCACAUUGACUCUGUACCGGUACCCCCUGUAUAUAGCCUCCACAUUGACUCUGUACCGGUACCCCCUGUAUAUAACCUCCACAUUGACUCUGUACUGGUACCCCCUGUAUAUAGCCUCCACAUUGACUCUGUACCGGUACCCCCUGUAUAUAGCCUCCACAUUGACUCUGUACCGGUACCCCCUGUAUAUAGCCUCCACAUUGACUCUGUACCGGUACCCCCUGUAUAUAACCUCCAAAUUGACUCUGUACUGGUACCCCCUGUAUAUAGCCUCCACAUUGACUCUGUACUGGUACCCCCUGUAUAUAGCCUCCACACUGACUCUGUACUGGUACCCCCUGUAUAUAGCCUCCACACUGACUCUGUACUGGUACCCCCUGUAUAUAGCCUCCACACUGACUCUGUACUGGUACCCCCUGUAUAUAGCCUCCACACUGACUCUGUACUGUAAUACCCUGUAUAUAGCCUCCACAUUGACUCUGUACCGGUACCCCCUGUAUAUAGCCUCCACAUUGACUCUGUACCGGUACCCCCUGUAUAUAGCCUCUACAUUGACUCUGUACCGGUACCCCCUGUAUAUAGCCUCCACAUUGACUCUGUACUGGUACCCCCUGUAUAUAGCCUCCACAUUGACUCUGUACCGGUACCCCCUGUAUAUAGCCUCCACAUUGACUCUGUACCGGUACCCCCUGUAUAUAGUCUCCACACUGACUCUGUACCGGUACCCCCUGUAUAUAGCCUCCACAUUGACUCUGUACCGGUACCCCCUGUAUAUAGCCUCCACAUUGACUCUGUACCGGUACCCCCUGUAUAUAGUCUCCACAUUGACUCUGUACCGGUACCCCCUGUAUAUAGCCUCCACAUUGACUCUGUACCGUUACCCCCUGUAUAUAGCCUCCACAUUGACUCUGUACCGGUACCCCCUGUAUAUAGUCUCCACAUUGACUCUGUACCGGUACCCCCUGUAUAUAGCCUCCACAUUGACUCUGUACCGGUACCCCCUGUAUAUAGCCUCCACAUUGACUCUGUACCGGUACCCCCUGUAUAUAGCCUCAUUAUUGUGUUACUUUUUAUUAUUUUUUACUUUAGUUUAUUUGGUAAAUAUUUUAACUCUUCUUGAACUGCACUGUUGGUUAAGGGCUUGUAAAUAA
This 1389-nucleotide long non-coding RNA is filed under the name Oncorhynchus mykiss (rainbow trout). RNAcentral's name for it is "lncRNA (ENSOMYG00000050502.1)". Lineage: Eukaryota; Metazoa; Chordata; Actinopteri; Salmoniformes; Salmonidae. The record is from RNAcentral.